GGCCCUGUAGCGCAAUAGCGCGUUGGACAUCUAAUCCAAAGGGUGUGGGUUCAAAUCCUACCUGGGAUGGCCU
Non-coding RNA from Trichonephila clavata, 73 nucleotides. NCBI's taxonomy places the organism in Eukaryota, Metazoa, Arthropoda, Arachnida, Araneae, Nephilidae. The record is from the annotation of a GenBank genome assembly.